Molecule: non-coding RNA, 2781 nt
Organism: Musa acuminata subsp. malaccensis (wild Malaysian banana)
Lineage: Eukaryota; Viridiplantae; Streptophyta; Magnoliopsida; Zingiberales; Musaceae
Source: RefSeq, a predicted model, not a curated record
AGAAGAGCUGAUGAUUUCUUGGGCGAAGACGAUAGAAAGAUUGCCUCUUUCCCUCUUCUCGGCCUUCGAACGCCUUCCGAACAGUUUUGGCAAUUGGAGUUUCACAGUGACUACUUUGUGCUAUCAGCCUAUCUGAUGUUUCAGGUGUGUUCAGGUUAGAAGCUUUCCUUUACUGUCUCAUGAGAGGAGUUUCACAAAGCCUGGACGAUUGUGAGAUCCUUCCUCACAUUGCAGGAUCUGAGGCCCUAAGACUGUGGUCCUUGCAACAAUAGAUGAUCACAUGGAAGAAGCAAUCGAGACAACCAAAGCUGAGCAAGUUAUAGCAGUGCCAACCACUACUCUAUGGAUUUGCAUGUGAUGCUUGGUAAGCAGCUCUGCAGAAGCAGUUAAAGAAGUUUAUGAGAUUAGAGGAUGUCAGCAGACAAGUCCUCUAGCGAUUGCUGUUGCUGUUGUCAAUCAAUUACUGUUUAUUGUUAUAUGUAUGUUGUAUAUACAGACAUGUGUGUAUAUAUGUAGAGAAAUAAAGGCGAGUGUUUACCAAGGUUUACUAGGAUCAGUGGUUAAAGUGAGAUUGAGAUUGGCUGAACCUGAUAUUGAAACCCCUGUUUUUAGGCUAAUUGGUCAGACUGAACCAGAAUCAAUGAAAAAAUCAAUUGGAAUUGAACAGCCCCUACGCAAGGCUAGAAACAACAGCAAUCCUCGAGAAAUUUGACCUACAAGAAGUUCCUUGAGAUUAUGGAGUCAAUGUAACUGUCCCUUCAAAAGGCUUUAUUCUUUUCCUUAUGGGAUUUGUGGGUUCGAGAAGUAUUAGUUACAGAGGUAAGCAGAUGGUGUUUUUCCUGAAUCAUCACAGCAUAUCAGGCGGCGGCAAUUUAUGUCGACGAUCAUUUUUGCUCUACAACUGCUGUUCGCAAGAGGUAAAGUUGGAACAUGCAUAGAGCCCUUUUGAUUGAUGCGUUUACACCAUUUUUGUCUGAUGUUGCUGCUGCAAUUCUGUCAAAAGAGUUUUAGCUAAACUAUAGUCAUCAUUCUUGGAGCUGCAAAAGCAUCUCAAGUCUACUCUCGAUGCUCUUAACGUUCUUAAUCUGUGAUAUCAAUGUAUGCUGCUACCUCAAGUUUACUGUACAGUUACAUUAAGCAUCCACCAUGUAUUUAAAGAAGCUACUGCAGGAGUUGUACAGUAACACUUCCAUUGCACACAACUGUUUGAACUCUACUUGUUUGGAUUGGCACCGAUUAGAAUCUUGUUAUUCUUGAGGAAUAAAGUAUGGCCUGCUAAUUCCAUUAUCAGUGCAGAGUGGAUGCCACUGUGCAGGAAUAUUUAGUUAUCAUGAACUUUAAUCAGCAGAGGAUUCCUGAAAUAUCUAUCAUUCAUCACCAUUUUGGAGUCUUUAACCUGUACAAGGAGACAAUACCAUCCCACCUUCAAACUGUUACAAACUCCAAGUUGAAUGAGUUCUUCUGAGGUGCUUUUAUGGCUUGUAUGGCUGGCUGCUCUGAGAUUUCAUGUCCUGAGAGUGAUUAAUGAUGAAGGUUAUACCACAAUCAAAACAAUCUGUUCCAAGAAAGAACAGAAAACAGAAAGGUUACUGAAAUCCAUAAAUUAGAAUUUGGUGUUAGCUUAUGGCAGUCUUCUUCCGAGUGGAGUAAACCUGUUAGCUUGUUGACUUCAUUACAUAUGGUUAGCACAGAUGGAGAGGAGCUGCGUACUCCAUGCAUGGAAGCAACCCUGCUUUGAUGAAUCAUUCGAGACAAGAAUAUAAGGAUGGGGACUCCUCGUCUGUCGCAAUGUGGCACAAAGGCAAGAGAAAGAAGAAGCAUCCGAUUCUGUGGUUUGUGGACCAGAGUUAGCUCUGAGAUAAUGGAGAAGAAAGGCCGCCUGCUUUCUUUUACUUGUCGCCGUUGAGUUCUUCUUCCGCAUAGGUGAGAAAUCGUAAUGCAGAGAGACUGCUGCGAUUGUCUCAGCCACUUCUUCCCUGUGCUAGAAGAAACCAGCGAGAUUUACUGCAGAACAACUGCUGCUGGUGAUUAAAAGCAGUACCAGCAGCUCUCGCAAUCUGUGUUCUUAGGUUUCUCCUUGGCUUUUGCUCUGCUGGAAGGUAGCGUUCACGUGAAACCGGGCCGUGAAUCAUGGAGAAUAACCACUGUUCAUCUAUUACAGCAUUGCAGCAAGAAGUUAAAUGUUGCCAGCUUGAUUUUGGGGUGUUUUCUUCUGGGGUUUUGUCUGUUUAAUGGUCCAAAGAGCAUCAUUGAAUUGAAUUUAGACAGAUGAGUUCUAUGCUCUGAAUAAUUUCUUACUGGAAGUGUAAGAUUCCAGGAAUAAAACGCAGAACCAGAUAAGAAUGCGUGAGAUGCAGCAGUGAUGGAGUGAAUGAUGUUGUACCUUGUACAGGUAGAAUGAAGAGCAGUAAUGAGCCAGUGUAGGUAGGUCAAGCUUACUAUAGAACGAAGAACAGGUAGUUUCAUGGUAAGAACAUUAAUCUUAUUUUCCUCAAGAAGACAAAACUGUGGAAGAUUUUGUGGGAAUCAUGGAAAUAAUUGUCAUAAAAGGAGGAAAAAAGCACACAUCUUCAGGGGAUUAUAGCAGAAAAAUGGAGGAUUUUUUCCUUUUUUUUCUUCUUCUUAACCUCAUUGAAGUUUAGAAUUCAUUAUCAAGUUUUUCCAUCUAAAUUGAGAUCAGGCUUUUUUCUAAGUGCAAGCUCAAUCACUUUGUGUGUUCAUGCUUAUAUAAGCUCAUCAAAGCCAGUUCACUCAAGAACACACACACAGUCUCUCCCUCUC